Molecule: long non-coding RNA, 664 nt
Filed under: Homo sapiens (human)
Lineage: Eukaryota; Metazoa; Chordata; Mammalia; Primates; Hominidae
Description: HSALNT0365501
Source: RNAcentral
GCAUUCGAGCCCUAACACAAGAGUGUGCGUGAAUAUAGGUGAUUGUGUUUCAAAAAGGAGGGAGAAGGAGGCCUGAAUGCCUCUCAGAGUGCAUUGUGUCUGGGGCUAGUAGGGUUGCCCCUUGUUCUGUGAUGUCACAAUGCCCAAACACACGCACCAAGAAGUCAUCAAAGACAGCCCAACUCACAGCCCAUGAGGGACCCUGAGUACUGCCUCUGACCUCUCUAUGGCAAGCCAAAUGGCCAUGGGAAGACCCCAUGGAGUGUCAGAAUGAUGCCGUUGAGGGCAAGGAUUUUAGACCGGUCAUGGAUUCUGCCUGUGCACUGGGCUCUACCACUUUCUAGCUAUCUGGCUACUAGCAAGUUACCUUAACAAUCUAAGUUUCAACCUCCCCAUUCGUGAAAUGGAGAUGAUGUCUUAGUCAUAGAAGUAGCAAGUCUACUGCAUAUCAACAGUGUAGCACUGAGCCUGGCUCUUUGCUGGAGCGCAGUGGGAUGAUCUCUGCUCACUGCAGCCUCUGCCUUCUGGGUUCAAGUGAUUCUCCUGCCUCAGCCGCAUAAGGAAACAGGCCGAGAGACGCAAGUCAAACAGCAAAGGAUGGUCUGCUGUCUGUCUGACUCCAAUGCCAAUGGUCUUUCCUCUAUAACCUAAAGCAAUAAAACCC